CAGUAGCCGCGGUAAUACGUAGGGUGCGAGCGUUAAUCGGAAUUACUGGGCGUAAAGCGUGCGCAGGCGGUUAUAUAAGACAGAUGUGAAAUCCCCGGGCUCAACCUGGGACCUGCAUUUGUGACUGUAUAGCUAGAGUACGGUAGAGGGGGAUGGAAUUCCGCGUGUAGCAGUGAAAUGCGUAGAUAUGCGGAGGAACACCGAUGGCGAAGGCAAUCCCCUGGACCUGUACUGACGCUCAUGCACGAAAGCGUGGGGAGCAAACAGGAUUAGAUACCCCCGUAGUCCCUGUCUCUUAUAC
RNAcentral lists this ribosomal RNA (301 nucleotides) under uncultured bacterium. Its description in RNAcentral is "partial 16S ribosomal RNA". It matches the Rfam family "Bacterial small subunit ribosomal RNA", at positions 509 to 807 of the family's 1533-position model. The record is from RNAcentral.